Molecule: ribosomal RNA, 478 nt
Filed under: uncultured bacterium
Lineage: Bacteria
Description: partial 16S ribosomal RNA
Rfam family: Bacterial small subunit ribosomal RNA
Source: RNAcentral
GACGAACGCUGGCGGCGUGCUUAACACAUGCAAGUCGAACGGUAAGGCCCUUCGGGGUACACGAGUGGCGAACGGGUGAGUAACACGUGGGUGAUCUGCCCUGCACUUCGGGAUAAGCCUGGGAAACUGGGUCUAAUACCGGAUAGGACCACUGCCUGCAUGGGUGGUGGUAGAAAGCUUUUGCGGUGUGGGAUGGGCCCGCGGCCUAUCAGCUUGUUGGUGGGGUGAUGGCCUACCAAGGCGACGACGGGUAGCCGGCCUGAGAGGGUGACCGGCCACACUGGGACUGAGAUACGGCCCAGCCUCCUACGGGAGGCAGCAGUGGGGAAUAUUGCACAAUGGGCGCAAGCCUGAUGCAGCGACGCCGCGUGAGGGAUGACGGCCUUCGGGUUGUAAACCUCUUUCAGCACCGACGAAGCGCAAGUGACGGUAGGUGCAGAAGAAGGACCGGCCAACUACGUGCCAGCCGCCGCGGUAA